Long non-coding RNA from Papaver somniferum (opium poppy), 1953 nucleotides. RefSeq lists it as uncharacterized. Lineage: Eukaryota; Viridiplantae; Streptophyta; Magnoliopsida; Ranunculales; Papaveraceae. The record is from RefSeq and is a predicted model, not a curated record. The transcript is spliced from 10 exons.
CUCACCCCAUUGUUCUCUCCCACUGGCUCAGAUCCAAAACAUUUCGCCUCUGUGAAAAAAGAAAAUGAUCCAUCGUUUGUUUUUCUAGCCUUUUAUUGUUAGACAUGGAACACGCAGGGAAGAUGAAUAAUAGAUUUCGGGUGUUUCUUUUUAGGGCGUAUUUUGUUCCUCCCGUUAAUCUUGGGGAUGUUUUCCCUGAUUUUGGUCUUUGAUUUCUGUACCAGGUUAGAUGAAUUAGUGCUUUGUGAUUUUGAUAUUUUUGGGAAAACAACAAUCAGUUUACAGAUCUGUUUUAGAACUAGGAAUUGGUCUUUUGGUUUACUCCCUGGUGAUCUCAAUUUUGACCUAAUUUCUAGGGUGACCUGCUACACGCAAUUGUUCAGAAGAAAAUUUAUAUGGAAAUUUGAACCCCUGCUAGAAAAGGGGAUGCUGUCGUGUCUUAACAAUUUGACAUUUGCCCCAGAAAAAAAAAAGUUCCGCCUCGCCCAGAAUGACUACCGCGCGUGCGUACUUUAACUGGAAUACCGAUAUUACUCCACUUGAAACUACCAGUGCGUCGAUUCCUCGCCACAAGUUCAAUUUCACUGAGAUUGAGAACCUUGCAGCUGCUACCACCAACACUUAUCUUACUGAUGUUGUAGGUGUGUUGACCAGCCACACAAACUUGCAACAGAUUAAGCGAAGUUCUGGAAACACAUGUUUCAUGCGUGAACUAACACUGGAAAACUUAAGUGGUAUGAAGCUUAAGGUCACACUAUGGGGUGAUUCCACUUCUGAGCUUACCAGGAACCUUGAAGCGCAUGAAAUUAAUCCACAACCUGUUGUGGCUGUUGUUGAUGGUGUCUAUGUCAAGCAAUAUCUAGGCAAGGCGUCGCUCUCUUCAACUAAUGCGACUAAAAUUUACUUUGACCUCGAUAUUCCAGAGGUCUUGCAUAUUAGAGAAAGGUCUUCCCACCGUACACCGCCACUCGAAAUCACAAUCCCGGCGAGAGUUGGUUACAAUCAGGAAGCUUAAUCCAUUGGCGACACUAGAAUGUCAAUUUCCCAAUUGCUGGAAACAAUCUGGGUACAAUAAAAGUCUGUCGUGCCAAGGCUAUUGGUAUUUCCACUGAGAAAGGAUGGUACUACCUGGGGUGACACAACUGCACAACUAAAUUGGUUGGAAACACAAGGGACCAUUGGUGCCCUAGCUGCAAGGUCCAAAUUGACGAACCGGUUCCCAGAUACCUUCUUAGAUUGGAAGUCGAGGACUCAUCGGGCACCGCAUUUUUUUUUGCCAUGGACAGCGAAGUACAAAAAAUUGUCCAGCUACCAGCUUUGGAUGUUGUGGCAAGGGCGAGGUUGAAGGCUUGGCAACAGUGCAGGCUGCCUUUGAAUCACUCGUUGGUGUCGUCCACGAUUACCUCAUACUAAUAACUCAGUAUAACAUGAAGUAUCUUGAAACCCCAAGCUUCACUGUAGCAAAGUUGCCUUCGCCCCCUCCAGCACCAACUCCAACCAUAUCUGCUCAGGCUAUCGAAAGCAUUCGUCCUGAAGAUGAUCCUGUGGCCGAUAAUGAACCACCUUGCAAGAAACCCUGCCUACAGAAGAUACCCAAUUCUGCGUCGGCAUCCACCAUUGCUGAAGAUUAAGCACUAUCAAGACACGCAUCUUUGUUGGUUUUAGGAUUCAAAAAAUAAAACAACGGAUAAGAGUCGUCGAUCAUGUUUCUUUCUGUCCCUGCAUUUUGUUUUAGCGUGUUUCCCGUUCUGCAUUUCAUUCUGGUGUGUUUCUCUUAAUGCUUUUGGUUUAGGUGUGAUUUCCAUUUUUAUGGCAUUAUAGUAUUAAUACCUUUUAUCAUAAUUCACAUUGGCAUUGGUGGAUCCUAUUUAUAAACGAAUUUAAAUUUUAUGUAAGCUGCUGUGUAACCGUGCUGAUAUGAUACGAUAUGGAAAUUUAUGUUCCCUUGGUUAA